RNAcentral lists this long non-coding RNA (7344 nucleotides) under Capsicum annuum. RNAcentral's name for it is "long non-coding RNA (CANN_LNC004661)". Lineage: Eukaryota; Viridiplantae; Streptophyta; Magnoliopsida; Solanales; Solanaceae. The record is from RNAcentral.
AACAACCCAAUAGAAAAUCUUUGCCUAAAUUUAUUUACAUUUUAACCUGAUUUUAUCCAAUUUCUUACAAUUAUAGCCCUUUUAUUACAAUUAUAGCCAAUUUGGACUCAAUUUAAAAUAUAGUUCAAUCUUGAUCAAAUUCUUAAGCCUCCAGAUCUCAGCCGUCGAUCAAAUCUGAUCCGAUGACUGAGAUCAAAAGCCCUAUCCUUUCCUUUUUAAAACAAAAGGAGAAACCCUAACCCUAAUUUUUUUAUUUCAUCUGUAUCCCCAUACCUCUCUCUCUCCCUUCUCUCUCUUUCCUUCACUCUUUCUCGCUCAAAAGGAGGCAGACAUGGUUGCCGGCCACCCAUUAACGACGCCACCUCCCUCUCUCUUCCGCUGUUUCCUUUAUAGUGAACCAACGCCAUCAUCGACACUGCCACUGGCAAAAAUAGGCGUGUCACCGCCUCCCCCAGUCCACGUACCGCCAUUUUUUUCACUGUCAAAAGUCGACAAACGAUGACCGAUCGUCAUUUCAUCCAGCCCCGCAGAAGUCGUCGUUGCUCCGCCCCCUUCUAAUCCAUCCCAGCAAACAACGCCGUCACUGCCGCCACCACCGGCGAAAACAUCCACACCACCAACAACCGUUCUUAUCGUUCACGCCGUCACUAUAACGUCCUUGACUCCAAUUGAAGCUCGAUAUAAAGGCAUUUACAAGUACUUGGCGGAUUUACCGAUGUAAAUCCGUCGCAUGUUAAUCAAAUUAAUUAACGUUAAUUAAUCAAGAGUUUAAUUUGGGAUCAUUAUGAGCUACUUGUUGUCCGACAUGUUACGCGCUUCGAGUCCUAGCCAACAUAGCCUUACUUUUGUCUAGUACACAAAUCCAAAAUAGUAAAGUCCAAUGCCUCUUGGACGAUAGGUGGGAUGAUAAGGGUUAUUAAAAACGUUAGUUUUAUCCUUGUCAUACAACGCCUUUAGACUUGACAUCCAGCCUAGGUGGGGUAGGACGGGUAGUCAUUCAGAAGUGAUGAUCCCAACGGAUUAUUGAUGGUAAGAUUAAUGACAUUGUUACUUGUCCAAGAGUUCGACCGGUGAGUCAGACGAUGAUUAAACAAGUUGGGUUCUGAUCCGAAUGAGACUAAAAUAUUUCCUUGUUUGACUUGGACGAAUUCUUUUUAUUCUUUUAUUUAGUUUACAUGUUUAUUUAUUUGAGGUAGUUAGUUUAUUAUAAAGCAGUCCCUUUUGUUGUAAAUUAUGUUAUUUCUUUCUCCUCACUUGUCUGAUUUACAUAUUUUUAUUGAUUUUAUCACUUAGAUGAUUAAUAGCCAUAAUUAAGUUAAAUGUUUGUUAAUUACUUUCUCACCUAGAUAAACAUUAAAUUAAUAAUAAAAUAAGAGCCCCUUUGGGAGCCAUCGAACCCCUUCACGUUCAUUUUUCACGUCUGCACUUUGGACAUAUCAACCUCCAAUCUGGUCAAGGUGUUCAAAGGAAAAAUAUUCAAUCCCGGGCCUGGAUCAAUCGAUACACGAGAUAUCAUUCUCCCCUCAUACUGCAAUGUGACAUGUAGAGCCCGAUUGUGUGCUCUUCCUUCGGGCGGUAAUUCAUCAUCAUGAAGUGAAAUCUUGUAUGCCUCAAAUACUUGCCCUACCAUGUGGGCCAUUUCUCCGCCUGUUAUGGUAGCCGACAUAUAAGCUUCACCUAAGACCCUCAUCAAUGCCUUUUGAUGAUUCUAAGAAGUCUGGAGCAAUGUCAAGAUUGUAAUCUGGGCCGGAGUCUUACUCAGCUGCUCUACUACAGAGUACUCAUUUACUUAUACCUUCUUCAAGAUACUAUCUUUUUCAACCCCGGUGCCAGGUUGCUUUCCUUUUCUAGAACUUUCUUGAAGCAAGUUUUCAGGCGUCUAUAUUUUACCUAAUCUGGUGAUACCUUGUGCAACGUCUGUCUUGGCUACUUUUACUUUCCUUGGAAUAUUGAGUGCAUAAUUCCAUGGAACUACAUGAGGAUUGCACACAGUCGGGGUAGCUCUUACAACAGUAAAGGAAUAUUUGGGCGUAGCAACCUCGAUCUCAAAGGGAGCCUACUUUCGUACCAUAAUAGGAGUUCUGUUUCCUUCCUCAAUGACCCAAAUGGAGUACUCUAAGUCUACAUCAUCAUCAGCCUCGAGCAUAUUCACCUCAUGAGUAAGGAUAGGAUUAUUGGUGACGUUGGGUUCCGGGUCUUUCAACUGAAUUACCCUGGUAUCAAUCAGUUGUUGAACUUUGUUCUUCAAGUAGAAGCAUGCCUCUAUAGGAUGUCCCCUCAUGCCGAAGUGGUAGGCACAUGUUUGAUCAUGUCGGUAUUGUGGGGAUCUCAUGUCAACUUGCACGGUCAAAAUGGUCGUGAUAUAACCCGCCUUCUUAAGUCUUUCAUAAAGUUAAGCCAUUGGCUCAGCUAAAGGGGUGUAUCGCCUUCUUUCAAUAUUUUCCUUAGGCUUGAGGACAGUAGGCUUGGUGGCAGGGCUAUGAGUAGGUUAGGUUACUUGGACUUGGAUGGGUUGGGCAUUAUAUACAAUGUAGGAGGGAUUUGAAAAUUAUGGAGACAUUUAGUAAGGAGGAGGAAUUUGGUAUAACGGAGCUUGAUAUGGCAUUGGAGGUUGUAGUGGGUAGAAGGAGGCCGUAUAUGGUGUUUAUGGGUAAGAUAAGGGAGACGGAGUGGAGGUCGCAUGGCUUGGGACAUUCUCCGAAAUUUAGGCCGCCAUUACUGAUCCUAUCUCCUUCUUUUUUUAAUUUUAUACUGCUCCUGCGGAUUGAGUGUUUAAGCGCAUAAUGCUACCAUUCAUAAGACACUCCUCGAACAUUUCUCCUAUUCGGAUGAUUUUGGAGAGACACUUUUCUGUGAUGGUUAUAAGUUUGUCAAGGUACUGUGGCUCUUGUGCCUUGACAAAAUAUUCUUUUAUCUUUUGCUCCUCAACUGGAGGUCGAGCUCUCGCAGCCUCGACCCUCUAUCUCAUGGCAUACUCGCGGAAGGAUUCACUUGGCUUCUUUCUCAUCGCCUGCAUAUAAGUCCAACUUAGAGCAUUAUCGAUAUUAUACCUAAACCGAUCAACGAAACUAGACGCCAGGUCAAGCCAGCCUGCCCACUUUUUCACAUCCUACUCAAUGUACCAUGUAAGAGCCUCUCCCAUGAGGCUUCUCAUAAAUAGCUUCAUCCGAAUUUUCUCAUUUUUUCCUACACCCAAAAGUUUGUUACAGUACACAUGCAGAUGUGCCUUAGGAUCUCCAGUCCCAUUGUAUAACUUAAAUUUGGGAGGUUUGUACCCCUCCGACAGUUCUACAUCUAGGUGGAUGCACAAAUCUUCGUAAUUGAGACCCUUCAUACCCUUGUUUCCUUCCAAAUAUCUUAACCUCUCAACUACAGCCUGCAUCGUAUAAUUAUUUUUUGGGUUCUCGACUGUGGGCUGAGGAUAGUUGAGCAGAAGUGUUUCAACAUAGAUAGGGUUCAGAUUAAGGCUUCCAAAUGCGUGAUGGUGGUAUAUGUUUGGAUGCAAAGGCUUUUGUGGAGAAAGAUGAGCGGAGUUUCUAGUUUCUUGGGUAAGCAUAUAUAAAGGAGCUUUGGCAUUUCGGAUAUUUUGAAUGUUGGUAGGAUUUUGGAGCUGGAGAUGAGGCAUUGGAUGGUCGGAAGGAUCUUGGGAUUUUGGGACGGUAAAGCUAUCGGCUUGUAAUUCUGGAGUGUUCAGGUUGAGGGAAAUCUUAGCUAGGUUGCGUACUUGCGCCAAUUCUACUUGUAAUUCCAGGAUUUCCUGUUCCAUUUUCAUCAUCAUUUUGUUCAAACCAAUGAUACUAUCCCCUUUUGAACUAAUACCCUAUUUUUCUCCAACGAUGUGAUAAUCGCCCAUUGUUUCUUUUCCUCAAGAACUUAUAGGUAAAGGAGGAGGAGAGGGAGGAGCCCCUUUCGAUCUAGUAUGAUAGGCCAGACAGCACAAAUCAACCUUCCCCUCUUACAAACUCACAAUUUUUCUUUGAGUACAAGAUUAACAGGUACAGGUGACAGGAAUCACUCCAUCACGAAGAAGCAUAAUAUACAAUCCAACAUCAUGGCGAGAAGCCUCGCAGUCGAUCCGACGACAUGACAGAUACGCUUUCUCAUAUUCUAUUAUCUUUACCGUUAUGGUUGUUUACUACAAUGUUCAAUCCUCUACACACACAUAUAUCUGCACUAAUCAUUUCUGCCAAGUCAAGCUAAAAGUGGCACGUAUGGAUCACGAUCUCAAAAUGCAUGGAAAAGCCCAAAAGCCGAUCCUACGAUGAAAAGACAAACAGCCGAUCACAUGAUUUUACAAUGCAUGGAGAAGCCCAAAAGUUGAUCCCACGAUAAGAAGCCAAGUAGCUGAUCACACGAUUUCACAAUGCAUGGAGAAGCCCAAAAGUUGAUCCCACGAUGAGAAGCCAAGUAGCUGAUCACACAAUUUCACGAUGUGAAGCCAAGUAGCUAAUCACACAAUUUCACGAUGCAUGGAGAAGCCCAAAUGCUGAUCCCACGAUGAGAAGCCAAGUGGUUGAUCACAUGAUUUCACAAUACAUGGAAAAUCCCAAAAGCUGAUCCCACAAUGAGAAGCCAAGUAGCUGAUCACAUGAUUUCACGAUGCAUGGAGAAGCCUAAAAGUCGAUCCUACAAUGGGAAGCCAAGCAGCUGAUCACACGAUUUCACAAUACAACAGAUAUGCUUUCUUUAUUUUUGCAUUCACGUUUAGUUUAUCAAUUAUUUAUUUCUUACAUGUCUAACCGUUGUUAUUUAGUGCGAUGUAAAGAUGCAGGUAACAGAGAAGGAAUAACAAAUAGAGACCAAUGUUAUUUAAGCGCGUCACCGCUUCUUCCAGUCCACGCACUACCACCUUCUUCACCGUCAAAAGCCAACCAAUGAUGAGAAGUCGUCGUUCCAGCCAGCCCCGCGAGAAACUGUUGUGGCUCUGCCCCCUUUGGCUCCGUCCCAGCGAUCAAUGCCGUCACCGGCGAAAACAGCCACGCCACCAACAGUCAUUCUUAUCGCUGACGCUGCCAUUAUAGUGUCCUUGACUCCGAUUGAAGUUCGAUAUAAAGGAAUUUACAAGUACUUGCCAGAUUUAUCAAUGUCAAUUCGUUGCAGGUUUUUUUUUUUCAAGUUUUACAUGAAUCUACCCCUAUUUUCUUUUAUUGUUUUUUUGUGUCUCCUUUGCUCAUAGAUUCAAAUUGAUUACGUAUGCCUCUGAACAUUGGUUCAACUUCUUUGAAUUUCUGAUUGUUUACCCAUCUAGAGCGAAAUAUAUGAAAACCCCAAAUUCAUAUGAUUUUUUCUUUAACCUCAAUUUCUUUUGUGGAAUUUGAUUUAAACGAGGUGCUUGUUUUUCUCACUGAUUAUUGUAUAUUUGCUUGAUUCUUGACAAAUAUUAGUUGCUUGAUUUUUGUUGAAUAAAAGGGUUGACCCUCUUGGUUAGAUUUGAUAGGUAUUCUAGUCAAUUUUGAUUCUUGAAUAUUUGUAACUGAUUUCUAAUUGACUAUUUCUCCUCUCUUAAGAUUGUGGCUUAUUGAUGUUUAUGACACAUUUAUAUUAUAUUACUCUUUAAUGGCACAUUGAGUUCGUACCCAAUUAAGGGAUUGUGAUUUUUGGUGAUUGAUUGUUUUCUCGGUAAGGCAAGUAGCAGAUAUUCCCACGUGAGUGCCUUCAUAUUUUGCCUACAUAUUUAUGGUAAAACUGGAUAAUUUUUCUACCUUAAUUGACUAUUUGACUGAUUUUAAAAUAUUAUUUUCCUUUUACUUUUCCUUAAUUACCUAAAAAUAUUCUCCCUUCCUUUUAUGUUUAGGCUGAUUUGUUUUUCCCUCACUAUAUAAACAACCUCUUCUUUCAAUUAACACAGUUCUGAAGUUCCACAAUUACAAUUACAAUUGCAAUUAUAAUUACUUCUCUCUUAAACAAAACAUCUGCUAUUUUAAUACGAGGCAAUUAGAUACUUGGUUUCUUUUGGUUUUCCUUCGAGGCUUACUAGAAGCAUCCUGCUAUUAUUCUUACAAGUGCUUGACUCUAUUUAUUUCUUUUACUUGCUGCACUAGUAAGUCUCUCAUCAAUGUAUUUACAUACUAGAAAGCAUGUCUAUAGGAUUAGUUGAAACAAUUGUUUGCUCCUUAUAUGUUGUGUCGUGUUUAAUCGUUUCAAUAUGCCAGACCAUGUGUGUGUUUGUCCCGUGCUUGCAUAGUUCUUCUAUUAUAUUCAACAGGUGUUAUUGGGAGGGGGUUCCGAAGAGUCCCCGAGAUGAUGAAUUGACUAUGUUAUGCUUCAUAGCUAGUUGUUUUUCUUUCUUCUUAUUUUACUUAUUAUCUGGUUUGUAAAAUUUGUAAAUACAUUAUUGUUAUUGAUGUAAUAAUAAAUUUGGGGGACUGCUUCGGGGGUCUGAGACUUACAUGCUCUAUGAACGGUAUAGAUAGGCACAACCUAGGGUUUACGUGCAUUACAUGCUACGUGGGUCAUUUAGGUACAAGCUUAAGAUUUAUUAAUAAGUGAAUCAUUAUCCACGGUUUAUUAAAUAUUCCUGAACUUAUGAAAAUUGGCAUACUAAAUUAUUUGACAUCAAGCAUAUUAGUAUUUUAGCAUGCUCGUACACUAUUUGACAUCAAGCAUAUUAGCAUAUUGAUGGCAUGUUAACAUAUAAAUAUAUUUCUAGUAUGUUAAACAUUAAGUGUUAGGCAUCUUAGCAUGUCAUGGCAUUAUAUUCCUUGACACAUUUAUCACACUUUUGACACCCUCUUUUAAUACUUAACAACACAUUGUUGCAUACACAAAUCACAGUUGUCUUCUAUCACCAUUUGUUGAACAUUAGAUAUCACACCUAUAGGUUAAUAAUUAAUGAGUAAUUAUUUGUCUUCGCAUGUUAAUCACAUUAAUUGACGUUAAUUAAUCAAGAGGCUAACUUGGGAUUCUUAUGUGCUACUUGCUCUCCAAAGUGUUACGCGCUUCGAGUCCUAGGCAACAUAACUUUAUUUUUGUCUAGAACACAAAUCCAAAAUAGUAAAGUCCAAUGCCUCUUGGACGAUAGGUGGGACGAUAAGUAUUACUAAGAGACGUUAGUUUUAUCCUUGUUAUAGAACGCCCUUAGACCUGACAUCUAGCCUAGGUCGGGUGGAAUGGGUAGUCAUUCGAAAGUGAUGAUCCCAACGAAAAAUUAAUGGUAAGACUAAUGACAUUGUUACUUGUCUAAGAGUUCGGCCGAUGGGUCGAAUGAUGAUUAAACAAGUUGGGGUUCUGAUCCGAAUGAAACCAAAACAUUUCUUUGUUUGACUUGGACAAAUUAUUUUUAUUCUCUUAUUUACCUUACAUGUUCAUUAAUGUGGGGUAGUUAAUUUAUUAUAAAUCAGUCCC